CACGUAGUUAGCCGUGGCUUUCUGGUUAGGUACCGUCAAGGUACCGGCAGUUACUCCGAUACUUGUUCUUCCCUAACAACAGAGUUUUACGAUCCGAAAACCUUCAUCACUCACGCGGCGUUGCUCCGUCAGACUUUCGUCCAUUGCGGAAGAUUCCCUACUGCUGCCUCCCGUAGGAGUCUGGGCCGUGUCUCAGUCCCAGUGUGGCCGAUCACCCUCUCAGGUCGGCUACGCAUCGUCGCCUUGGUGAGCCAUUACCUCACCAACUAGCUAAUGCGCCGCGGGCCCAUCUGUAAGUGAUAGCGUAAACCAUCUUUUAGCUUCCUAACAUGUGUUAGAAAGAAUUAUCCGGUAUUAGCUCACGUUUCCGCGAGUUAUCCCAGUCUUACAGGCAGGUUGCCCACGUGUUACUCACCCGUCCGCCGCUAAUAUCAGGGAGCAAGCUCCCAUCAAUUCGCUCGACUUGCAUGUAUUAGGCACGCCGCCAGCGUUCGUCCUGAGCCAGGA
This 507-nucleotide ribosomal RNA is filed under the name uncultured Bacillus sp. Its description in RNAcentral is "partial 16S ribosomal RNA". The record is from RNAcentral. Lineage: Bacteria; Bacillati; Bacillota; Bacilli; Caryophanales; Bacillaceae.